AAGCCCAUGAUGGUAUGAGAGUAG
This 24-nucleotide non-coding RNA is filed under the name Cricetulus griseus (Chinese hamster). Lineage: Eukaryota; Metazoa; Chordata; Mammalia; Rodentia; Cricetidae. RNAcentral also lists the same sequence under 1 other name. The record is from RNAcentral.